This 322-nucleotide unclassified non-coding RNA is filed under the name soil metagenome. RNAcentral describes it as "partial contains 5.8S ribosomal RNA, internal transcribed spacer 2, and large subunit ribosomal RNA". The stretch from base 1 to 120 matches the Rfam family "5.8S ribosomal RNA", at positions 35 to 154 of the family's 154-position model. The record is from RNAcentral.
GAUGAAGAACGUAGCGAAAUGCGAUAAGUAAUGUGAAUUGCAGAAUUCAGUGAAUCAUCGAAUCUUUGAACACACAUUGCGCCCUUUGGCAUUCCGAAGGGCACACCUGUCCGAGCGCCGUCGCACAACUGAGGCGCAGCCUUGCGUUGGCGGGCGACUUGUGAGUAGCGAGUCGCCGCCCAAACGAGACGGCGCCGCGCCGCGGCCGACGAAGCACGAAAGCGGAAGUCGACGCGGAGGCGGUUGCCUGUAGGAAGACACAGCUUGGCCUCGGAUCAGGUGGGGAUACCCGCUGAACUUAAGCAUAUCAAUAAGCGGAGGA